This 415-nucleotide ribosomal RNA is filed under the name uncultured bacterium. RNAcentral describes it as "bacterial SSU rRNA". It matches the Rfam family "Bacterial small subunit ribosomal RNA", at positions 506 to 921 of the family's 1533-position model. The record is from RNAcentral.
GGCCAGCAGCCGCGGUAAUACGUAGGUGGCAAGCGUUGUCCGGAUUUACUGGGCGUAAAGGGAGCGUAGGCGGAUACUUAAGUGGGAUGUGAAAUACCCGGGCUCAACUUGGGUGCUGCAUUCCAAACUGGGUGUCUAGAGUGCAGGAGAGGAAAGUGGAAUUCCUAGUGUAGCGGUGAAAUGCGUAGAGAUUAGGAAGAACACCAGUGGCGAAGGCGACUUUCUGGACUGUAACUGACGCUGAGGCUCGAAAGCGUGGGGAGCAAACAGGAUUAGAUACCCUGGUAGUCCACGCCGUAAACGAUGGGUACUAGGUGUAGGAGGGUCCAACCUUCUGUGCCGCCGUUAACACAAUAAGUACCCCGCCUGGGGAGUACGGUCGCAAGAUUAAAACUUAAAGGAAUUGGCGGGGGAC